This 1128-nucleotide ribosomal RNA is filed under the name Aspergillus tubingensis. RNAcentral describes it as "eukaryotic LSU rRNA". The stretch from base 533 to 1128 matches the Rfam family "Eukaryotic large subunit ribosomal RNA", at positions 1 to 600 of the family's 3401-position model. The record is from RNAcentral. Lineage: Eukaryota; Fungi; Ascomycota; Eurotiomycetes; Eurotiales; Aspergillaceae.
UGACCUGCGGAGGAUCAUUACCGAGUGCGGGUCCUUUGGGCCCAACCUCCCAUCCGUGUCUAUUAUACCCUGUUGCUUCGGCGGGCCCGCCGCUUGUCGGCCGCCGGGGGGGCGCCUUUGCCCCCCGGGCCCGUGCCCGCCGGAGACCCCAACACGAACACUGUCUGAAAGCGUGCAGUCUGAGUUGAUUGAAUGCAAUCAGUUAAAACUUUCAACAAUGGAUCUCUUGGUUCCGGCAUCGAUGAAGAACGCAGCGAAAUGCGAUAACUAAUGUGAAUUGCAGAAUUCAGUGAAUCAUCGAGUCUUUGAACGCACAUUGCGCCCCCUGGUAUUCCGGGGGGCAUGCCUGUCCGAGCGUCAUUGCUGCCCUCAAGCCCGGCUUGUGUGUUGGGUCGCCGUCCCCCUCUCCGGGGGGACGGGCCCGAAAGGCAGCGGCGGCACCGCGUCCGAUCCUCGAGCGUAUGGGGCUUUGUCACAUGCUCUGUAGGAUUGGCCGGCGCCUGCCGACGUUUUCCAACCAUUUUUUCCAGGUUGACCUCGGAUCAGGUAGGGAUACCCGCUGAACUUAAGCAUAUCAAUAAGCGGAGGAAAAGAAACCAACCGGGAUUGCCUCAGUAACGGCGAGUGAAGCGGCAAGAGCUCAAAUUUGAAAGCUGGCUCCUUCGGAGUCCGCAUUGUAAUUUGCAGAGGAUGCUUUGGGUGCGGCCCCCGUCUAAGUGCCCUGGAACGGGCCGUCAGAGAGGGUGAGAAUCCCGUCUUGGGCGGGGUGUCCGUGCCCGUGUAAAGCUCCUUCGACGAGUCGAGUUGUUUGGGAAUGCAGCUCUAAAUGGGUGGUAAAUUUCAUCUAAAGCUAAAUACUGGCCGGAGACCGAUAGCGCACAAGUAGAGUGAUCGAAAGAUGAAAAGCACUUUGAAAAGAGAGUUAAACAGCACGUGAAAUUGUUGAAAGGGAAGCGCUUGCGACCAGACUCGCCCGCGGGGUUCAGCCGGCAUUCGUGCCGGUGUACUUCCCCGUGGGCGGGCCAGCGUCGGUUUGGGCGGCCGGUCAAAGGCCCCUGGAAUGUAGUACCCUCCGGGGUACCUUAUAGCCAGGGGUGCAAUGCGGCCAGCCUGGACCGAGGAACGCGC